RNAcentral lists this small RNA (1134 nucleotides) under Pan troglodytes (chimpanzee). Its description in RNAcentral is "processed transcript". Lineage: Eukaryota; Metazoa; Chordata; Mammalia; Primates; Hominidae. The record is from RNAcentral.
GGGCUCACAAAACAGCUACUUGAUGACACCAUUGGAAUUCACCCCACAUGUGGGGAGGUGUUCACGACUUUGGAAAUCACAAAGUCGUCGGGACUAGACAUCACUCAGAAAGGCUGCUGAGGCUAGGCCUGCUGCUGUUUAGUUCUCCUUGUCAUAUUCUCAUUUCUCUCAAAGAUAAGAAUGCUCUCGGAUAAAAUGAGCCUGUGCUCAUGACAGCUGCUCUGUUACUCAGGGACCAGUGCAGGGCUGUCUUACGACACUUAGAUGAGAAAGUAGACAGGGAAAGAGGACAGCAGUGGGCAUCUGCCUUGUGGUCUUGCUGACAGCGAGAAGCAGUGGGACUGCUUCCUUGACGCCUUAGCUUGGAGCCCCGUUAUGAGGUCCUCUCAGAUUGCAGCAGGAUGUUUCAUGAAAGCCUAGACCCGGAAGAAUAGGAGGAUAGGAGACUGCAGCAGCUGACCUCUGGAAGCCAGAGCUGGAUGAGGGACCUGAGCGAGAGGAGACUUGGGCAGCCGGAGCUGAAAGCUGAGCAGCAGAUGCCACCGGAGCCUGUGAGGGCACGAUUGAGCGUGGGGCUGGCUUGCUGCUGCUCCCACACCACUGCAGAGGCGUCCUCUCUGGAACAUGGAGACAAGGUUUUUCGACAGGGGUUUCCCAGUACCCUGGAAGAGAUUAAGAGACUACUGACGAUCUCCAGGGCACUGCAAGCCAGAUCUGUACCCUCCACCCAGGAGAAGGCAAAAUGUCUUUCUGGAGAGCCUGGGCGGCCAGAGGGGAAAGGCCAAGAAACCUAUCCUGGCCCUGGGAAAGUGGAGGGUAAGGCAGAGCCAGCCAUGAGAAAGGAUGAUGUUUGCCCAGGCAUGAAAUGUAUCAGCGGAUGAUCUCUCACAUGGAAGAAGCCAAGGCAGCUACACCCGAUGGCUUAGCAAUAAGAAACACCAAACCAGACAAACACCACUGCUGCUGGGAAAGGGACCUGGCAGAAGGAAAAGGCUGUUCAGAGAGCAGAGGUAUUUCGUGUGAGCCUUUUAGGGCUUCUUGUCUCUUUAGACCACAUGCACAUAUUACUUGUAUAAAAUAAUGCACCAGAUACAAACAAUGAAAUGCAAGUGCUGAGUUCGAUAGACUCAUACA